CUGAAACGUAGAUGGUGCGUUACAUAAUCCGAAGGGAAGUACAUUGAAUUGAUAUAGGCCGUCAUAAGUGGUGAAUGCUGUUAUUUCUUUGGACGAUUCGUCCAUUUCUACCUGCCAAAAUCCAGAAAACAAAUCUAAGGUGGUAAAGAAUUGUGUUUGGCCUAAUAAGUCCAAAGAUUCUUGAAUAUGUGGUAAAGGGUAAGAAUCCUUUUUUUUGUUACAGCAUUCAGUUUUCUGUAAUCGACACAAAAACGAGUUGAACCGUCUUUUUUCUUUACGAGCACUACUGGACUCGCCCAUGGGCUAACUGAAGGUUCAAUAAUGUUGGCCUCAAGCAUUGUCUGGAUGUGUUCUGUUAUAGUUUCACGUUGUGUUGGUGCAGUACGAUAUGGUCUCUGUCGUAUAGGUGGAGAACCAUCAGUAAAAAUUUGGUGUUUAACGAUGGAUGUUCGACCUAAAUCAUGUGUACUUUGUGAAAAGAUAUCCGCAUUAUCCGAUAAAAAA
Dendronephthya gigantea is the source of this 504-nucleotide long non-coding RNA. RefSeq lists it as uncharacterized. NCBI's taxonomy places the organism in Eukaryota, Metazoa, Cnidaria, Anthozoa, Malacalcyonacea, Nephtheidae. The record is from RefSeq and is a predicted model, not a curated record. The transcript has 3 exons.